GAUCAUGGCUCAGAUUGAACGCUGGCGGCAGGCCUAACACAUGCAAGUCGAACGGUAACAGGAAGAAGCUUGCUUCUUUGCUGACGAGUGGCGGACGGGUGAGUAAUGUCUGGGAAACUGCCUGAUGGGAGGGGGAUAACUACUGGAAACGGUAGCUAAUACCGCAUAACGUCGCAAGACCAAAGAGGGGGACCUUCGGGCCUCUUUGCCAUCGGAUGUUGCCCAGAUGGGAUUAGCUAGUAGGUGGGG
RNAcentral lists this ribosomal RNA (249 nucleotides) under uncultured bacterium. RNAcentral describes it as "partial 16S ribosomal RNA". It matches the Rfam family "Bacterial small subunit ribosomal RNA", at positions 15 to 257 of the family's 1533-position model. The record is from RNAcentral.